Molecule: transfer RNA, 63 nt
Filed under: Manacus vitellinus (golden-collared manakin)
Lineage: Eukaryota; Metazoa; Chordata; Aves; Passeriformes; Pipridae
Also listed under: 1 other name
Source: Rfam by way of RNAcentral
AUUAGCUCAGUUGGUUAGAGCAUGGUGCUAAUAAUACCCAGGUCAUGGGUUUGAUCCCCAUAU